Myotis davidii is the source of this 88-nucleotide non-coding RNA. Lineage: Eukaryota; Metazoa; Chordata; Mammalia; Chiroptera; Vespertilionidae. The record is from Rfam.
CGUUCCCGCUCUGAACUCCAGUUCCAGGCGAGUCUCUGGGGACCCAGACUCAUACGGGGAGAAACUGGACUGUUUGGCAGCGGGCCGA